AAAUAAAAAUAAAUAAAUAACAAAUGACAAAGUGUGAUAGUCACAGGUAAAGAUGGCCAAUGGGCCGGGCGGCACGUGUCCGUACAGAACGGCACGGCACGAGCACAUUUUGGUGAGGCACGAGCAUGUUUCGGUGAGGCACGAGGCACGGCACGGCACGCACGUGGGCCGUGCCGGACCUAGAAUUUUAGGCACGCAGGCCUUAAAACACGGCAUGAUUAGAGAUGGGCCAAAGCACGGCAAGCGAAAAAGCACAUAAUAAGCACGGUUCAUUAGUGGGCUAGCACACGGCCCGUGAGCCAUUAAUAGCACGUGGGCCAAAAUAUAUCUAAGUAAAUUUUUUUAACAAAAGGUAAAUAUAAAAUGUUAUGAAAUUAAAUUACAAUAUCUUGAAAUU
Molecule: long non-coding RNA, 397 nt
Filed under: Citrus x clementina
Lineage: Eukaryota; Viridiplantae; Streptophyta; Magnoliopsida; Sapindales; Rutaceae
Description: Citrus clementina (C. clementina) long non-coding RNA (CCLE_LNC000822)
Source: RNAcentral